GGUGGAACAUGCUUAAACUAUGUGCAUUCAAUUCUUUCGGAUGAAUAUGCUUACUAGUAUUUUUCUUUUUUGAAAAAUAGUUGAGAUAAUUUUGUAUUAAGUAACAAGUUUUCUACUUGGUCUUGGAUUUGAUAAAAUUCAUCACAUGAUUUUAUGAAAUAGCAGCUAGUUCAUGGAUUCAAAACUUCAUCCUUAUUGUGAGGUAAAACUUGAGCCGGCUAGGUCUCACCAGAUUGGUGUGUUAUCUGAUNAGUUCAUGGAUUCAAAACUUCAUCCUUAUUGUGAGGUAAAACUUGAGCCGGCUAGGUCUCACCAGAUUGGUGUGUUAUCUGAUCAAAUAACAAAGUCAAACCUUCAAAGGACCAGUUUAAUGGGCUUCUUGUUGAAUCACCCUGACCUUCUGGAUUUAAUGGUUGCACUUAUCCAGUUUCUUAAUGCCCUAUAGUUGGAUUUAGAGUUGAUUUUGUAGUUCAAUAUUUUUUAAAAAGUCCACCCCCUCUCUCCCAACCGAAAAGAAAGAGAAUAUCUUAGCUUCCUGUUAAUCAACAUGAUGCAUAAGCUAGACUCAUCUAUUUUUGUUGUUGUGUGCUAACAGC
RNAcentral lists this long non-coding RNA (596 nucleotides) under Olea europaea (common olive). RNAcentral describes it as "long non-coding RNA (OEUR_LNC003408)". Lineage: Eukaryota; Viridiplantae; Streptophyta; Magnoliopsida; Lamiales; Oleaceae. The record is from RNAcentral.